GACGAACGCUGGCGGCGUGCUUAACACAUGCAAGUCGAACGGAAAGGCCCUGCUUUUGUGGGGUGCUCGAGUGGCGAACGGGUGAGUAACACGUGAGUAACCUGCCCUUGACUUUGGGAUAACUUCAGGAAACUGGGGCUAAUACCGGAUAGGAGCUCCUGCUGCAUGGUGGGGGUUGGAAAGUUUCGGCGGUUGGGGAUGGACUCGCGGCUUAUCAGCUUGUUGGUUGGGUAGUGGCUUACCAAGGCUUUGACGGGUAGCCGGCCUGAGAGGGGUACCGGCCACAUUGGGACUGAGAUACGGACCAGACUCCUACGGGAGGCAGCAGUGGGGAAUAUUGCACAAUGGGCGGAAGCCUGAUGCAGCAACGCCGCGUGCGGGAUGACGGCCUUCGGGUUGUAAACCGCUUUCGCCUGUGACGAAGCGUGAGUGACGGUAAUGGGUAAAGAAGCACCGGCUAACUACGUG
This 468-nucleotide ribosomal RNA is filed under the name uncultured bacterium. Its description in RNAcentral is "partial 16S ribosomal RNA". It matches the Rfam family "Bacterial small subunit ribosomal RNA", at positions 28 to 507 of the family's 1533-position model. The record is from RNAcentral.